Molecule: ribosomal RNA, 253 nt
Filed under: uncultured bacterium
Lineage: Bacteria
Description: partial 16S ribosomal RNA
Rfam family: Bacterial small subunit ribosomal RNA
Source: RNAcentral
UACGAAGGGGGCUAGCGUUGCUCGGAAUCACUGGGCGUAAAGGGUGCGUAGGCGGGUCUUUAAGUCAGGGGUGAAAUCCUGGAGCUCAACUCCAGAACUGCCUUUGAUACUGAGGAUCUUGAGUUCGGGAGAGGUGAGUGGAACUGCGAGUGUAGAGGUGAAAUUCGUAGAUAUCAGGAGGAACACCGGUGGCGAAGGCGGCUUUCUGGACAGACACCGACGCUGAGGCACGAAAGCUAGGGGAGCAAACAGG